UGUAGCUUCUCCCAGAAUUGUGGAGGGAACAAAAUACACAAAAAAGCAAAAUUGAUUCUUCAUGUCUGCUGUCACAAAUACUCCCUUGAAAAAACAUAAUGGAGAUGCCACUCUAUAAGGAAGAGACUGAAUCUUGGGCAGUCAUGAUCAAACGAACACCC
RNAcentral lists this long non-coding RNA (161 nucleotides) under Cyanistes caeruleus (blue tit). RNAcentral's name for it is "lncRNA (ENSCCEG00000012813.1)". Lineage: Eukaryota; Metazoa; Chordata; Aves; Passeriformes; Paridae. The record is from RNAcentral.